This 424-nucleotide ribosomal RNA is filed under the name uncultured bacterium. RNAcentral describes it as "bacterial SSU rRNA". It matches the Rfam family "Bacterial small subunit ribosomal RNA", at positions 508 to 930 of the family's 1533-position model. The record is from RNAcentral.
GCAGCCGCCGCGGUAAUACGAAGGGUGCAAGCGUUACUCGGAAUUACUGGGCGUAAAGCGUGCGUAGGUGGUUCGUUAAGUCUGAUGUGAAAGCCCUGGGCUCAACCUGGGAAUGGCAUUGGAUACUGGCGGUCUAGAGUGCGGUAGAGGGCAGUGGAAUUCCCGGUGUAGCAGUGAAAUGCGUAGAGAUCGGGAGGAACAUCUGUGGCGAAGGCGACUGCCUGGACCAGCACUGACACUGAGGCACGAAAGCGUGGGGAGCAAACAGGAUUAGAUACCCUGGUAGUCCACGCCCUAAACGAUGCGAACUGGAUGUUGGGUGCAACUAGGCACUCAGUAUCGAAGCUAACGCGUUAAGUUCGCCGCCUGGGGAGUACGGUCGCAAGACUGAAACUCAAAGGAAUUGACGGGGGCCCGCACAAGU